GAUCCUACGGGGAGGCAGCAGUGGGGGAAUAUUGCACAAUGGGCGCAAGCCUGAUGCAGCCAUGCCGCGUGUAUGAAGAAGGACCUUCGGGUUGUAAAGUACUUUCAGCAGUGAGGAAGGUGGAUAUGUUAAUAGCAUAUUCAUUUGACGUUAGCUGCAGAAGAAAGCACCGGCUAACUCCGUGCCAGCAGCCGCGGUAAUACGGAGGGUGCGAGCGUUAAUCGGAAUUACUGGGCGUAAAGCGCAUGCAGGUGGUUUGUUAAGUCAGAUGUGAAAGCCCGGGGCUCAACCUCGGAAUUGCAUUUGAAACUGGCAAACUAGAGUACUGUAGAGGGGGGUAGGAAUUUCAGGUGUAGCGGUGAAAUGCGUAGAGAUCUGAAGGAAUACCGGUGGCGAAGGCGGCCCCCUGGACAGAUACUGACACUCAGAUGCGAAAGCGUGGGGAGCAAACAGGAUUAGAUACCCUGGUAG
RNAcentral lists this ribosomal RNA (471 nucleotides) under uncultured bacterium. RNAcentral describes it as "bacterial SSU rRNA". It matches the Rfam family "Bacterial small subunit ribosomal RNA", at positions 334 to 793 of the family's 1533-position model. The record is from RNAcentral.